GACCAAAGACUUUCUGAACUCAGACUUGCGAAUCACAUAAAACUUCUCCUUUUCUACCAAAGUCAAUAGAUUCCAUCUAGUUGAAUCUUACUCCAAACAGCGAACCUGAACCUACUGAAGCCAACAUAUACAGCAAGGAUCCAAAUGGCUAGGGACCAAGGGAACGUGCAGUCAAAUCUAGUAGUCUCAUUGUGAAUAGCCAAUGACAUCAUAGGUUAAAGGACCACUCAAACCAU
This 236-nucleotide long non-coding RNA is filed under the name Elaeis guineensis (African oil palm). RNAcentral's name for it is "long non-coding RNA (EGUI_LNC052633)". Lineage: Eukaryota; Viridiplantae; Streptophyta; Magnoliopsida; Arecales; Arecaceae. The record is from RNAcentral.